GGCGAACGCUGGCGGCGUGCUUAACACAUGCAGGUCGAACGGUAAGGCCCUUCGGGGUACACGAGUGGCGAACGGGUGAGUAACACGGGGGUGAUCUGCCCUGCACUUUGGGAUAAGCCUGGGAAACUGGGUCUAAUACCGAAUAUACCCUGCUGGUCGCAUGGCCUGGUGGGGGAAAGCUUUUGCGGUGUGGGAUGGGCCCGCGGCCUAUCAGCUUGUUGGUGGGGUGAUGGCCUACCAAGGCGACGACGGGUGGCCGGCCUGAGAGGGGAACCGGCCACACUGGGACUGAGAUACGGCCCAGACUCCUACGGGAGGCAGCAGUGGGGAAUAUUGCACAAUGGGCGCAAGCCUGAUGCAGCGACGCCGCGUGAGGGAUGACGGCCUUCGGGUUGUAAACCUCUUUCAAUAGGGACGAAGCGUAAGUGACGGUACCUAUAGAAGAAGGACCGGCCAACUACGUGCCAGCCGCCGCAGUAA
Molecule: ribosomal RNA, 480 nt
Filed under: uncultured bacterium
Lineage: Bacteria
Description: partial 16S ribosomal RNA
Rfam family: Bacterial small subunit ribosomal RNA
Source: RNAcentral